AAGCGGCAACAGCUCAAAUUUGAAAUCUGGCUUCGGCCCGAGUUGUAAUUUGUAGAGGAUGCUUUUGGUGAGGUGCCUUCUGAGUUCCCUGGAACGGGACGCCAGAGAGGGUGAGAGCCCCGUAUAGUCGGCCACCGAUCCUUUGUAAAGCUCCUUCGACGAGUCGAGUAGUUUGGGAAUGCUGCUCAAAAUGGGAGGUAUAUCUCUUCUAAAGCUAAAUAUAGGCCAGAGACCGAUAGCGCACAAGUAGAGUGAUCGAAAGAUGAAAAGCACUUUGAAAAGAGGGUUAAAUAGCACGUGAAAUUGUUGAAAGGGAAGCGCUUGUGACCAGACUUGUGCCGGGCUGAUCAUCCAGUGUUCUCACUGGUGCACUCGACCCGGCUCAGGCCAGCGUCGGUUUUCGUGGGGGGAUAAAAGCUUCGGGAACGUGGCACCUUCGGGUGUGUUAUAGCCCGUUGCUUAAUACC
RNAcentral lists this ribosomal RNA (467 nucleotides) under Coniochaeta ligniaria. RNAcentral's name for it is "LSU rRNA". It matches the Rfam family "Eukaryotic large subunit ribosomal RNA", at positions 96 to 575 of the family's 3401-position model. The record is from RNAcentral. Lineage: Eukaryota; Fungi; Ascomycota; Sordariomycetes; Coniochaetales; Coniochaetaceae.